RNAcentral lists this ribosomal RNA (465 nucleotides) under uncultured bacterium. RNAcentral's name for it is "partial 16S ribosomal RNA". It matches the Rfam family "Bacterial small subunit ribosomal RNA", at positions 28 to 507 of the family's 1533-position model. The record is from RNAcentral.
GACGAACGCUGGCGGCGUGCUUAACACAUGCAAGUCGAACGGAAAGGCCCUGCUUGCAGGGUACUCGAGUGGCGAACGGGUGAGUAACACGUGGGUGAUCUGCCCUGCACUUCGGGAUAAGCCUGGGAAACUGGGUCUAAUACCGGAGAGGAGCCAUUUUUAGUGUGAUGGGUGGAAAGUUUGUUCGGUGUAGGAUGAGCUCGCGGCCUAUCUGCCUGUUGGUGGGGUAAUGGCCUACCAAGGCGGGGACGGGUAGCCGGCCGGAGAGGGUGGACGGCCACAUUGGGAAUGGGAUACGGCCCAGACCCCUACGGGAGGCAGCCGUGGGGAAUAUUGCACAAUGGGCGCAAGCCUGAUGCAGCGACGCCGCGUGGGGGAUGACGGCCUUCGGGUUGUAAACUCCUUUCGCUAGGGACGAAGCUUUUUGUGACGGUACCUAGAUAAGAAGCACCGGCUAACUACGUG